CAAGGAAUUUUCGGCAAUGGGCGCAAGCCUGACCGAGCAACGCCGCGUGGAGGACGACGGCCUUCGGGUUGUAAACUCCUUUUGCGGGGGACGAUUGUGACUGUACCCCGCGAAUCAGGCUCGGCUAACUCUGUGCCAGCAGCCGCGGUAAGACAGAGGAGCCAAGCGUUGUCCGGAUUGACUGGGCGUAAAGCGCACGCAGGCGGCUGGGCACGUGGGGUGUGAAACCUGGCGGCUUAACUGCCAGACGCCAUCCCAUACGGCCCGGCUCGAGGCAGGCAGAGGUUCGUGGAAUUGCCGGUGUAGUGGUGAAAUGCGUAGAGAUCGGCAGGAACACCAAGGGCGAAAGCAGCGAACUGGGCCUGUUCUGACGCUCAGGUGCGAAAGCGUGGGGAGCGAACC
Molecule: ribosomal RNA, 402 nt
Filed under: uncultured bacterium
Lineage: Bacteria
Description: bacterial SSU rRNA
Rfam family: Bacterial small subunit ribosomal RNA
Source: RNAcentral